This 513-nucleotide ribosomal RNA is filed under the name uncultured bacterium. Its description in RNAcentral is "partial 16S ribosomal RNA". The record is from RNAcentral.
GGAGUUAGCCGGUGCUUCUUCUGUGAGUGAUGUCCUUCCUGCCGGCUAUUAACCCGCAGGCCUUCUUCCUCACUGAAAGUGCUUUACAACCCGAAGGCCUUCUUCACACACGCGGCAUGGCUGGAUCAGGGUUGCCCCCAUUGUCCAAUAUUCCCCACUGCUGCCUCCCGUAGGAGUCUGGGCCGUGUCUCAGUCCCAGUGUGGCUGAUCAUCCUCUCAGACCAGCUACGGAUCGUCGCCUUGGUGAGCCGUUACCUCACCAACCAGCUAAUCCGACAUAGGCUCAUCCGAUAGCGCGAGGCCCGAAGGUCCCCCGCUUUCCCCCGUAGGGCGUAUGCGGUAUUAGCCUGGGUUUCCCCAGGUUAUCCCCCACUACCGGGCAGAUUCCUAUGCAUUACUCACCCGUCCGCCGCUCGCCACCAGGGAGCAAGCUCCCCGUGCUGCCGCUCGACUUGCAUGUGUUAGGCCUGCCGCCCAGCGUUCAAUCUGACGACCAGAACUACAAACUCUAGA